RNAcentral lists this ribosomal RNA (671 nucleotides) under uncultured archaeon. Its description in RNAcentral is "bacterial SSU rRNA". It matches the Rfam family "Archaeal small subunit ribosomal RNA", at positions 110 to 786 of the family's 1478-position model. The record is from RNAcentral.
UGCCCUAUGCUCUGGGAUAACCUCGGGAAACUGAGAAUAAUACCGGAUAGAUCACAACGCCUGGAACGGUGUGUGGUUGAAAGAUUACGGCAUAGGAUGGGUCUGCGGCGUAUCAGGUUGUAGGGGGUGUAACGGACCUCCUAGCCAUCGACGCGUACGGGUGUUGGGAGACAUAGCCCGGAGAUGGAUUCUGAGACACGAAUCCAGACCCUACGGGGUGCAGCAGGCGCGAAAACUUCACACUGCAGGAAACUGUGAUGAGGGAACUCCAAGUGCGCGCACUUAGUGUGCGCUUUUGUUGACUAUUAAUCGGUCAAUGAAUAAGGGCUGGGAAAGACCGGUGCCAGCCGCCGCGGUAAUACCGGCAGCUCAAGUGGUCGUCGCUUUUAUUGGGCCUAAAACGUCCGUAGCCUGUUUGGUAAAUCUGUGGGUAAAUCAACCAGCUUAACUGGUUGAAUUCUGCAGAGACUGCCAGACUAGGGACCGGGAGAGGUGUGGGGUACUCUAGGGGUAGGGGUAAAAUCCUGUCAUCCUUAGAGGACCACCAGUUGCGAAGGCGCCACACUGGAACGGAUUCGACGGUCAGGGACGAAGCCUAGGGGCACGAACCGGAUUAGAUACCCGGGUAGUCCUAGGUGUAAACGCUGUGAACUUGGUGUCGGGGAUCCGUC